GAGGGACCGGGAAGGGCCGGUGAGAAGGGUGGAGAACCGGGCAGGAACCGGGGGCUUGCAGCCGCCCCGAGCAGGUAGAUGCGUCGGAGAUCGCGAGGCUUUUUGCGCAUUUGCUCUUUCCCACUCUACACCUAGGAAAGACUCCCCGGAAGCCGGCUUGUACCAUUGGGCCAUCUCACUCAGUAAUUUUCUGGGUACACGGACCUGUAAAGUAGGUUUGGCUCAAAGGACUGCAGUGUGAAGGUGGGACUAAUGUGGAGGACUCGGAUGAUGAUUCUGGAGAAGAUGGUCAUGAUUAGCAAGUAAAAAACACCACUACAGCAGAAAAGAGAAAGUUUCCUGAGUCAAAUUGACCUGAAGAGUCUACAAAACCUUUAUUAUGUAUGCUUCUAUCUUCUAGUCUACAUCAAGCUGAAUGAUGUUCACCAUAUCCUGAAUCAGUUUGCUGCUUGAUUAAACACUUGAAUUGUGCCUUUUUUCUUCUGUUUGCUCUUAAUGGGUGAAAUGGGAGCCCCCCCCUUAUUCUUGAGGCCUAAGUUGCUGUAAACUGCCCUGUGAUCUUCGGGUGAAGGGCAGUACAUUUAAUAAAUAAAAAUAAUAAAUUGAGGUCUGUGGCCAUUUCUACCUAGGACUUCUCCCUGGAGAUGGAUCCUGCAGGUACAUGAUUUCUGGGUUUACUUCUCAAGCUGUGGGUUAGGGUGGUGGUGGUUGGGGGGGGGGAGGGAUGUAUUGUUGGGAGAGAUGCAUAAACUGCUGUGUUAUGCAAGCUCAUAGUUGUUUUAAGCUUUAGAUAUAAUUUUGGCUAAUGUGAAUAUUUUGUCAAUGGGCUGGGUUCCAUAUCAAAACGAAGAAGUACAAAAAUUCCUACAUAAAAAAAUAAUCCUGAUAUCAUUUGCUUACAAGAAACCUACA
This is a non-coding RNA of Podarcis muralis (Common wall lizard), 912 nucleotides long. Lineage: Eukaryota; Metazoa; Chordata; Lepidosauria; Squamata; Lacertidae. The record is from RefSeq and is a predicted model, not a curated record.